Pseudonaja textilis is the source of this 440-nucleotide non-coding RNA. The record is from RefSeq and is a predicted model, not a curated record. NCBI's taxonomy places the organism in Eukaryota, Metazoa, Chordata, Lepidosauria, Squamata, Elapidae.
CCAGAAGUAAGCCUAAUUGAAGACAAUGGUACUUACUUCUGAGUAGACAUGCAUAGGAUUGGGUUGUAAAUAUGAUCUUGAGACUCAACAUUCCAUACAGGUGGUGUCAGCAAUGGAACUUUGGAGGAAAAAAAGGAAUAUGGAGAAGAAAUGAAAGGAUAAAACUGGAACAACUUUAGUAAAAAUAAGUUUUUAUAUAUGAAUAAGACUUAUGUAAAAAGCAUUUAAAUAUAAAUUAGUCUACCAGCAUAAUGUAUGGAAAUGACGUACGAAAAAACAGUGAAGAAACCUUCCUUAAAACGCAAGAAUUAUUAUGUCAGAAAAUGCUGCAGAACUGUCAGGGGCACUAUGUAUGAAAAAGAUAUUACGAGAAAUGAUAAAAUGAAGGAGGCUAUGGAGAGAAACGUCUUCAAAUGACAGGAAGAAAAAGUAAGAUUAAA